Molecule: non-coding RNA, 106 nt
Filed under: Peptoclostridium litorale
Lineage: Bacteria; Bacillati; Bacillota; Clostridia; Peptostreptococcales; Peptoclostridiaceae
Also listed under: 1 other name
Description: Clostridium litorale SAM-I sequence
Rfam family: SAM riboswitch aptamer (S box leader)
About the family: The SAM riboswitch is found upstream of a number of genes which code for proteins involved in methionine or cysteine biosynthesis in Gram-positive bacteria. The SAM riboswitch acts at the level of transcription termination control.
Source: RNAcentral
GCCUUAUCAAGAGAGGUGGAGGGACAGGCCCUAUGAAACCCGGCAACAGCCAGCGUUUGCUGGAAAUGUGCUAAUUCCUACAGAAUUUUUUUCUGGACGAUGAGGU